UCGGAGGAAAAGAAACCAACUGGGAUUACCUUAGUAACGGCGAGUGAAGCGGUAAAAGCUCAAAUUUGAAAUCUGGUACUUUCAGUGCCCGAGUUGUAAUUUGUAGAAUUUGUCUUUGAUUAGGUCCUUGUCUAUGUUCCUUGGAACAGGACGUCAUAGAGGGUGAGAAUCCCGUUUGGCGAGGAUACCUUUUCUCUGUAAGACUUUUUCGAAGAGUCGAGUUGUUUGGGAAUGCAGCUCAAAGUGGGUGGUAAAUUCCAUCUAAAGCUAAAUAUUGGCGAGAGACCGAUAGCGAACAAGUACAGUGAUGGAAAGAUGAAAAGAACUUUGAAAAGAGAGUGAAAAAGUACGUGAAAUUGUUGAAAGGGAAGGGCAUUUGAUCAGACAUGGUGUUUUUUGCAUGCACUCGCCUCUCGUGGGCUUGGGCCUCUCAAAAAUUUCACUGGGCCAACAUCAAUUCUGGCAGCAGGAUAAAUCAUUAAGAAUGUAGCUACUUCGGUAGUGUUAUAGCUUUUUGGAAUACUGUUAGCCGGGAUUGAGGACUGCGCUUCGGCAAGGAUGUUGGCAUAAUGGUUAAAUGCCGCCCGUCUUG
RNAcentral lists this ribosomal RNA (592 nucleotides) under Hanseniaspora uvarum. RNAcentral's name for it is "eukaryotic LSU rRNA". It matches the Rfam family "Eukaryotic large subunit ribosomal RNA", at positions 50 to 656 of the family's 3401-position model. The record is from RNAcentral. Lineage: Eukaryota; Fungi; Ascomycota; Saccharomycetes; Saccharomycodales; Saccharomycodaceae.